This 73-nucleotide transfer RNA is filed under the name Acaryochloris sp. CCMEE 5410. RNAcentral's name for it is "tRNA-Thr". It matches the Rfam family "tRNA". Rfam says of the family: Transfer RNA (tRNA) molecules are approximately 80 nucleotides in length. Their secondary structure includes four short double-helical elements and three loops (D, anti-codon, and T loops). Further hydrogen bonds mediate the characteristic L-shaped molecular structure. tRNAs have two regions of fundamental functional importance: the anti-codon, which is responsible for specific mRNA codon recognition, and the 3' end, to which the tRNAs corresponding amino acid is attached (by aminoacyl-tRNA synthetases). tRNAs cope with the degeneracy of the genetic code in two manners: having more than one tRNA (with a specific anti-codon) for a particular amino acid; and 'wobble' base-pairing, i.e. permitting non-standard base-pairing at the 3rd anti-codon position. The record is from RNAcentral. Lineage: Bacteria; Bacillati; Cyanobacteriota; Cyanophyceae; Acaryochloridales; Acaryochloridaceae.
GCUGGUGUAGCUCAAUGGCUAGAGCAAUUGUCUUGUAAACAAUAGGUUGCAGGUUCGAAUCCUGUCACCAGCU